Molecule: ribosomal RNA, 301 nt
Filed under: uncultured bacterium
Lineage: Bacteria
Description: partial 16S ribosomal RNA
Rfam family: Bacterial small subunit ribosomal RNA
Source: RNAcentral
CAGUAGCCGCGGUAAUACGAAGGGGGCUAGCGUUGCUCGGAAUUACUGGGCGUAAAGGGAGCGUAGGCGGGUCGUUUAGUCAGAGGUGAAAUCCCGGGGCUCAACCUCGGAACUGCCUUUGAUACUGGCGACCUUGAGUAUGGGAGAGGUGAGUGGAACUCCGAGUGUAGAGGUGAAAUUCGUAGAUAUUCGGAAGAACACCAGGCGAAAGCGACUCACUGGCCCAUUACUGACGCUGAGGCUCGAAAGCGUGGGGAGCAAACAGGAUUAGAUACCCCAGUAGUCCCUGUCUCUUAUACAC